This 601-nucleotide ribosomal RNA is filed under the name Pseudomonas hunanensis. Its description in RNAcentral is "bacterial SSU rRNA". It matches the Rfam family "Bacterial small subunit ribosomal RNA", at positions 84 to 681 of the family's 1533-position model. Lineage: Bacteria; Pseudomonadati; Pseudomonadota; Gammaproteobacteria; Pseudomonadales; Pseudomonadaceae. The record is from RNAcentral.
UCCUUGAUUCAGCGGCGGACGGGUGAGUAAUGCCUAGGAAUCUGCCUGGUAGUGGGGGACAACGUUUCGAAAGGAACGCUAAUACCGCAUACGUCCUACGGGAGAAAGCAGGGGACCUUCGGGCCUUGCGCUAUCAGAUGAGCCUAGGUCGGAUUAGCUAGUUGGUGGGGUAAUGGCUCACCAAGGCGACGAUCCGUAACUGGUCUGAGAGGAUGAUCAGUCACACUGGAACUGAGACACGGUCCAGACUCCUACGGGAGGCAGCAGUGGGGAAUAUUGGACAAUGGGCGAAAGCCUGAUCCAGCCAUGCCGCGUGUGUGAAGAAGGUCUUCGGAUUGUAAAGCACUUUAAGUUGGGAGGAAGGGCAGUAAGCUAAUACCUUGCUGUUUUGACGUUACCGACAGAAUAAGCACCGGCUAACUCUGUGCCAGCAGCCGCGGUAAUACAGAGGGUGCAAGCGUUAAUCGGAAUUACUGGGCGUAAAGCGCGCGUAGGUGGUUUGUUAAGUUGGAUGUGAAAGCCCCGGGCUCAACCUGGGAACUGCAUCCAAAACUGGCAAGCUAGAGUACGGUAGAGGGUGGUGGAAUUUCCUGUGUAGCGG